AGCGAACGCUGGCGGCAGGCUUAACACAUGCAAGUCGAGCGGGCAUAGCAAUAUGUCAGCGGCAGACGGGUGAGUAACGCGGGGGAACGUACCUUUUGGUUCGGAACAACUGAGGGAAACUUCAGCUAAUACCGGAUAAGCCCUUACGGGGAAAGAUUUAUCGCCGAAAGAUCGGCCCGCGGCUGAUUAGCUAGUUGGUGAGGUAAUGGCUCAACAAGGCGACGAUCAGUAGCUGGUCUGAGAGGAUGAUCAGCCACAUUGGGACUGAGACACGGCCCAAACUCCUACGGGAGGCAGCAGUGGGGAAUACUGGACAAUGGGCGCAAGCCUGAUCCAGCCAUGCCGCGUGAGUGAUGAAGGCCCUAGGGUUGUAAAGCUCUUUUGUGCGGGAAGAUAAUGACGGUACCGCAAGAAUAAGCCCCGGCUAACUUCGUGCCAGCCGCCGCGGUAA
This 451-nucleotide ribosomal RNA is filed under the name uncultured bacterium. Its description in RNAcentral is "partial 16S ribosomal RNA". It matches the Rfam family "Bacterial small subunit ribosomal RNA", at positions 29 to 523 of the family's 1533-position model. The record is from RNAcentral.